Molecule: ribosomal RNA, 160 nt
Filed under: uncultured eukaryote
Lineage: Eukaryota
Description: partial 18S ribosomal RNA
Rfam family: Eukaryotic small subunit ribosomal RNA
Source: RNAcentral
UGGUGGAUUGAUUUGUCUGGUUAAUUCCGUUAACGAACGAGACCUUAACCUAUUAAAUAUGUUACACGAAAUCUUCACCCUUUGGGUCUGAUGUUUCGUUGGGAUUUACUUCUUAGAGGGACCAUUCGCGUCUAGUGAAUGGAAGAUUGAGGCAACAACA